Molecule: ribosomal RNA, 270 nt
Filed under: uncultured prokaryote
Description: partial 16S ribosomal RNA
Rfam family: Bacterial small subunit ribosomal RNA
Source: RNAcentral
UACGUAGGGUGCGAGCGUUGUCCGGAAUUACUGGGCGUAAAGAGCUCGUAGGUGGUUUGUCACGUCGUCUGUGAAAUUCCGGGGCUUAACCUCGGGCGUGCAGGCGAUACGGGCAAUACUUGAGUGCUGUAGGGGAGACUGGAAUUCCUGGUGUAGCGGUGAAAUGCGUAGAGAUCGAGAGGAACACCAGUGGCGAAGGCGGGUAACUGGACUGCAACUGACGCUGAGGCACGAAAGCGUGGGGAGCAAACAGGAUUAGAUACCCUGGUA